GAGCAACGGAUGCAUGUGGAAAGCCAGGUAACAGGACAGAAGGUUCUGGAAGGGUGGUUUCCUGCAAAGCAUCAGUCACAAUGAAGAAGACUUUUCUAACAUAAUUUCAACUGGGCUUGAAUUAAUUUGCCAAGUGUAACUGUAGCUUGGACAGAGUUGCCAGUGAACCGAUUCCUGUGAGAUUUAGUUUGCAGACCACUGCCUCCAUCGGCAUCUCCAGAGCUAGCUGCAGAGAUGAGGAAGACAGCAGGGAACAGCACAUGUUGGAGUUCAACUCCGGCUAAGAGGAAGCAGUGGUGUUAAUAUGCCUCAGAUCGAAGAGUAGACGUAAACACGGUCUGCUGAGCGCUGGAGUAAAGAUGUAGAACAGGAUGCCUGCUCCGAGCUGUGCAUCUUCUUCAGAAGCACAGGGUGAAGGCAAAACCCAGCAUCCCAGUGCUGUACCGUCUGCACAGAGCUGGAGCCCACCCCUUCUCCAGCCACGUGAUCACCCCUUCUCCAGCCACAUGAUCACCCCUUCUCCAGCCACGUGAUCACCCCUUCUCCAGCCACGUGAUCACCAGCCCUCUAAACCAUGAAGGUCAAGCCCGAUUUUGCUUUGGUUUUCUUUCAGCUCUUGAAGAAGGAGCUUCGACUCAGGUUUCGCUCUGGAAUAGCGAUGCGGGUGCUGAUUCAUUUUGCAAUAGCAUCUACCCCAACACAGCACUGACCCAGGCUCUGCCCAGCACGUUGAGUGACAACAUUUCUGAUAUCGAACUAUCCUUGCAUUUUAAAGACUCACCAGAUUUUAUUGAGAUGUAUUAUUCUUGUGACAGAAUCGUGUAUCAAUUUAACAUGCACAUAUUGAUGUCUAGCUUCCUGCAUGAAAUUACUUACUGCAUCAUCCUUUUCUUUGAAGCUUUGUCUGAUUUUAUGUCUAAAAACUUCUGGUCUCAUACAUAAUCUACCAUAAUUUUAACAUUCCAAAGGAAAUAAUAAAUGGCUUGGGUUAAUCUGUCCCUUGGCUUUAUCUGUCUGUACAAAAUCACCUUGCUGGGGUCUUUUGUUGAGGAGAAGUUGGCAGCUUAUUCUUAUUUCAUAUUCCCUUACAUUUCCAGUUUAUUUUUAAUUAAUCGGUACUGAAUGUCUAUUUUAUCUAGACCUUGUUAACUCUAUUUCGUCAUAAUAAUCUCAUAUAUCUACUUUUCUGUAAUUAAAUUCUCCUUUUUAUUAUACAUAUACUUUGAAAUUUCUGCUCCUAAUCACUUUUUCCAAGGGUUUGUCUACUUUGUGAGUUUCUUUUUAAAGAAACUGUUUUGGGGCAAGAAUUGUUGAUUUUUUUCACUAUUACCCUUUGUAAUCACUUUAUAAUCGCGUUUACAUUUUUCGUUCUCAAAGUGUCUUAAGUUGAACACUCACUCAUUUUUAUAAUAUUUCAAUUUGUUAAAAUGAUUGAUAGAUGGUAUUUCCAUAACCAUUACUUGGAAUCUUUAUAUUUUUCUAUUUAGAUUUUCUUUUAAACCUUCAAGUUAUUUAUAAAUGUGCGUUGGUUCCCAACUGGGAAGAAUUGAUGGCUACUUAACAGGUUUUAUAUGAAAAAGGAAACUUAUUUGUACACGGUAUUUUUAAACCACAUCAUAUAUUUAUUUUAUAUUUUAUUUAUUAUAUUACAUAUUCUGUAACCAU
Molecule: long non-coding RNA, 1665 nt
Organism: Mus musculus (house mouse)
Lineage: Eukaryota; Metazoa; Chordata; Mammalia; Rodentia; Muridae
Product: predicted gene, 31521
Exons: 3
Source: RefSeq, a predicted model, not a curated record